UACAGAGGGUGCGAGCGUUGUUCGGAAUUAUUGGGCGUAAAGGGCGCGUAGGCGGUGCGGUAAGUCACCUGUGAAAUCUCCUGGCUCAACUGGGAGCUUGCAGGCGAAACUGCCGUGCUGGAGUGUGGGAGAGGUGCGUGGAAUUCCUGGUGUGGCGGUGAAAUGCGUAGAUAUCGGGAGGAACACCUGUGGCGAAAGCGGCUCACUGGACCACAACUGACGCUGAGGCGCGAAAGCUAGGGGAGCAAACAGG
RNAcentral lists this ribosomal RNA (253 nucleotides) under uncultured bacterium. Its description in RNAcentral is "partial 16S ribosomal RNA". It matches the Rfam family "Bacterial small subunit ribosomal RNA", at positions 524 to 776 of the family's 1533-position model. The record is from RNAcentral.